Molecule: ribosomal RNA, 486 nt
Filed under: uncultured bacterium
Lineage: Bacteria
Description: partial 16S ribosomal RNA
Rfam family: Bacterial small subunit ribosomal RNA
Source: RNAcentral
AUUGAACGCUGGCGGCAUGCUUUACACAUGCAAGUCGAGCGGCAGCGCGGGGGCAACCCUGGCGGCGAGCGGCGAACGGGUGAGUAAUGCAUCGGAACGUAUCCUCGAGUGGGGGAUAACCCAGCGAAAGUUGGGCUAAUACCGCAUGAGCUCUGAGGAGGAAAGCGGGGGACCUGCGAGGGCCUCGCGCUGGAGGGGCGGCCGAUGUCCGAUUAGCUAGUUGGUGGGGUAAAGGCUUACCAAGGCGACGAUCGGUAGCUGGUCUGAGAGGUUGAUCAGCCACACUGGGACUGAGACACGGCCCAGACUCCUACGGGAGGCAGCAGUGGGGAAUCUUGGACAAUGGGGGCAACCCUGAUCCAGCCAUGCCGCGUGAGUGAAGAAGGCCUUCGGGUUGUAAAGCUCUUUCGGACGGAACGAAAUGGGCGGGACUAAUACUCCUGUCUGAUGACGGUACCGUAAGAAGAAGCACCGGCUAACUACGUG